Molecule: non-coding RNA, 127 nt
Organism: Hordeum vulgare subsp. vulgare (domesticated barley)
Lineage: Eukaryota; Viridiplantae; Streptophyta; Magnoliopsida; Poales; Poaceae
Source: Rfam
AUAGUACUCCCUCCAUCCGAAAUUACUUGUGUCACCAAAAUGGAAAUAAAUGAAUGUAUCUAGAUCUAAAAUAUAUCUAGAUACAUCCACUUCUAUGACAAAUAAUUCCGAACGAAGGGAGUAGAAU